Molecule: ribosomal RNA, 394 nt
Filed under: uncultured bacterium
Lineage: Bacteria
Description: bacterial SSU rRNA
Rfam family: Bacterial small subunit ribosomal RNA
Source: RNAcentral
AUUGAACGCUGGCGGCAUGCCUUACACAUACAAGUCGAACGGCAGCACGGGAGCAAUCCUGGUGGCGAGUGGCGAACGGGUGAGUAAUAUAUCGGAACGUGCCCGGUCGUGGGGGAUAACGUAGCGAAAGCUACGCUAAUACCGCAUACGAUCUACGGAUGAAAGCGGGGGAUCGCAAGACCUCGCGCGAUUGGAGCGGCCGAUAUCAGAUUAGGUAGUUGGUGAGGUAAAGGCUCACCAAGCCGACGAUCUGUAGCUGGUCUGAGAGGACGACCAGCCACACUGGGACUGAGACACGGCCCAGACUCCUACGGGAGGCAGCAGUGGGGAAUUUUGGACAAUGGGCGCAAGCCUGAUCCAGCAAUGCCGCGUGCAGGAUGAAGGCCUUCGGGUU